CCUACGGGGGGCAGCAGUGGGGAAUAUUGGACAAUGGGCGAAAGCCUGAUCCAGCCAUGCCGCGUGUGUGAAGAAGGCCUUCGGGUUGUAAAGCACUUUCAGUGGGGAAGAAAGCCUUGGGGCUAAUACCCUCGAGGAAGGACAUCACCCACAGAAGAAGCACCGGCUAACUCCGUGCCAGCAGCCGCGGUAAUGCGGAGGGUGCGAGCGUUAAUCGGAAUUACUGGGCGUAAAGCGCGCGUAGGCGGUCUGAUAAGCCGGUUGUGAAAGCCCCGGGCUCAACCUGGGAACGGCAUCCGGAACUGUCAGGCUAGAGUGCAGGAGAGGAAGGUAGAAUUCCCGGUGUAGCGGUGAAAUGCGUAGAGAUCGGGAGGAAUACCAGUGGCGAAGGCGGCCUUCUGGACUGACACUGACGCUGAGGUGCGAAAGCGUGGGUAGCAAACAGGAUUAGAUACCCGAGUAGUC
This 465-nucleotide ribosomal RNA is filed under the name Vreelandella stevensii. RNAcentral's name for it is "partial 16S ribosomal RNA". It matches the Rfam family "Bacterial small subunit ribosomal RNA", at positions 338 to 795 of the family's 1533-position model. The record is from RNAcentral. Lineage: Bacteria; Pseudomonadati; Pseudomonadota; Gammaproteobacteria; Oceanospirillales; Halomonadaceae.